Molecule: long non-coding RNA, 1617 nt
Organism: Oncorhynchus keta (chum salmon)
Lineage: Eukaryota; Metazoa; Chordata; Actinopteri; Salmoniformes; Salmonidae
Exons: 3
Source: RefSeq, a predicted model, not a curated record
UGUAUUGAUAAACAAAAUAUUGAAGAGCAAUUUGUCUUUUGGAUAGAACUGUGGGCUGAAGAGAUUGGGGUACCUUGUGAGGAUCCAGCGACGAGUGACUAAUCUGCCUUUGUACGCUGGCCAAUAGUACCGAUGGCAAUCACUGGAUAAUAAAGUGGAUGAACUAAAAGCACGUAUAUCCUACCAACGGGACAUUAAAAACUGUAUGACAACAUGAAUAACAUACAGCUGGCGGGUUAUACACUGUAUCGGCAGGAUAGAACAGCAGCCUCUGGUAAUACAAGGGGUGUCAGUCUAUGUAUAUUUGGAAACAACAGCCGGUGCACGAUAUCUCUAGGUUUUUCUCGCAUGAGGUAGAGUAUCUCAUGAUGAGCUGUAGACCACACUAUCUACCUCAAGAGUUUUCAUCUGUUCUUUGGCACUGUCUAUUUACCACCACAAACCGAUGCUGGCACUAAGACCGCACUCAAUGAGCUGUAUACGGCCGUAAGCAAACAAGAAAAUGCUCAUCCAGAGGCGACGCUCCUUGUGGCCGGGGAAUUUAAUGCAGGGUAAUGUAAAUCCUUUUUAAUCAAAUUUCAACCAGCAUGUUAAACGUGCAGCCAGAGGGGAAAAAACUCUAGACCACCUUUACUCCACACGCACAGUGUCACGCAUACUCCCUCUCUGGUCUCUAGGUCAUCAGGCUGCAGAUUAUCAGGCAUACCUGCCACCAUCGUCUCGCUCACCAGUGCCUCAUGACACUCACCUGGACUCCAUCACCUCCUUGAUUAUCUUCCCUGUAUCUGUCACUCCCCUUGGUUCCUUCCCCAGGCCAUUGUUUCUGUUUCAUGUCUGUGUGCUGUUAGUGUUCCUUGUUUUGUAUUAUGUUCUGUUUAUUUUAUUAAAACACUCCCUGAACUUGCUUCCCAACUCUUGGCACACUUGUUACAGAAUAACACCUCACCUAAGGGAAGCAUCAGGGAGUGUUUUUUGUUUUUGAGUAAAUGACGUCGGAUCCGGGAACUGCUACAGACUCUCAUGCCUCAACCAGAUCAGAUCGCCAGGCUCCCCUGCCUCAGGAGGCCCGUUGGGCUUUCAUGCCUCAGCCGGAUUGCCAGGCUCCCGCGCCUCAGCUGACUCGACAGGUUCCCGUGCAUCAGCUGGCGUGACAGGUUCCCGUGCAUCAGCUGGUGUGACAGGUUCCCGUGCAUCAGCUGGCGUGACCGGUUCGCUCCUGAUCCCCGGGUUCAUCCCCUUUGAUGGCAUCCUGCAUAGAGCCGCGCACCGAGGAGAGAUCUCCUCAAUUUAAGGCAUACAGACGAGGAGGCAUACAAAGGUAUGUUAAUUGAUUCACAGGUUUCUCCCUCCCUACACAUCUGAUGAAUAUACCAGGAAACCUGUUUGAUCACCAUGCACUGCAAAAUCCUUCUGGCUAUGGAUACGGAGAACAUCAGCACAUUAACAUCAUUACGCCAGAAGAUAUACCCAUUGGACUCUGCUGAGAGUUGACCUCAUAUUUGGAUAUGUUAUUCUGCUUUGCCAUUAAAAUCAUAAUAAACACUGACAACUAAAAUAUUGUGUUAUUGUUAUGCGCAUUAUUAAUAAUAUUAAUUAUAAUAAUAGGAGAGGGGUAGU